GACGAACGCUGGCGGCGUGCUUAACACAUGCAAGUCGAACGGUGAAGCGCCUUCCUUUUUGGUGGGUGUGGAUGAGUGGCGAACGGGUGAGUAACACGUGAGUAACCUGCCCCCUUCUUCUGGAUAACCGCAUGAAAGUGUGGCUAAUACGGGAUAUUCUGGGUCUGUCGCAUGAUGGGUCUGGGAAAGAUGUUGUUUCGGUGGGGGAUGGGCUCGCGGCCUAUCAGCUUGUUGGUGGGGUGAUGGCCUACCAAGGCGGUGACGGGUAGCCGGCCUGAGAGGGUGGACGGUCACACUGGGACUGAGACACGGCGCAGACUCCUACGGGAGGCAGCAGUGGGGAAUAGUGCACAAUGGGCGCAAGCCUGAUGCAGCGACGCCGCGUGAGGGAUGGAGGCCUUCGGGUUGUGAACCUCUUUCGCCAGUGAAGCAGGCCUGCCUCGUUUGUGGGUGGGUUGACGGUAGCUGGAUAAGAAGCGCCGGCUAACUACGUG
Molecule: ribosomal RNA, 494 nt
Filed under: uncultured bacterium
Lineage: Bacteria
Description: partial 16S ribosomal RNA
Rfam family: Bacterial small subunit ribosomal RNA
Source: RNAcentral